This is an RNA transcript of Hemibagrus wyckioides, 551 nucleotides long. It is a transcript of the gene named testis expressed 55, with no coding region annotated. The record is from RefSeq and is a predicted model, not a curated record. The transcript has 5 exons. NCBI's taxonomy places the organism in Eukaryota, Metazoa, Chordata, Actinopteri, Siluriformes, Bagridae.
AGGGGUUACAGCCUGACAUUUCAGUCGCUAUAAACAAACCUGCAGGAAGCCAAACUGUGAAGAACACCGUGUUUCUGUGGGUUUUAUUUCAUUUAGGAAUCAACUCCGUGCUUUAAAGCGAUUAUAAUUCAUCUAAAAGGUCAUAUUAAUCAUGGCGGAUUCGGAUUUAGGUAGAGCAGAAAAAGCAGACAGAUCUGCAGACCCUUACGAGAGAACGGUGACGUAUCUGGAGAGCCAUAACAUCCUGCAGAUAUUCCAGGAAAUCACAGAGAGCCUGGUUUAUGACAGACCUGAUGACCCCCUGCGGUUUAUGUUAGAGCAGGUGCAGAAGAAGAUCCAGGCGCGAGAGUCGAGUGAAGCUGCGAAAGCUGAAUCGUUUCCUCACUAACGGCUCUGUGCAGCGUACAAUGAAGAGGGAGCCAGAAGCGCGGGGCUGAAAAACAAGAGACGUCUCUCCGUCCUGGUGGAUUAAGUACCGACGAGAAUUGGAUUUCGGUGUGUAAGGUUAGAACAGAACCUGUUUUUUUCUUUUCUUUUCUUUCUUUCUUUUU